ACUUCCAAAUCUCUUAUGGUACAUGGAAUGGUGAAACUUCCUGGAUCUUGAAGCUUAGGAGGCAAUAACUUUUGUAUGAUUGCACUACAAUUUCCUUGUACUUCAAUGGUCUCCUUGUCAGUGUACUUUCGUUUCUUCGUGAGAAGCUCCUUCAAAAACUUUGCAUAUGAAGGCAUUUGUUGCAAUGCUUCAAAAAAAGGUAUGGUGAUCUCCAACUGUUUUUCUUUCUCCUUCCUUGAAUAAGUCUUUGGAUAAGGAAGGGGUUUUUCAAACUCUUUCUCUUUUUUCUCUCAUCUACCUCUUUCUUUUUUUCUCCCUCAAUUCUCUCUUUUUUCUCUAAUCAACCUCUCUCUUUUCUUUUUCUACUCACUCUCUUCUUCCUCACUCAAAUUUUCUUUCUUUUUUCUCUCAAUUUUUUUCUCACCUAACACUUUACCACUUCUAGUAACAACAGUCUUACACUCUUCCCUUGGAUCGCCUCUCACAUUCCUCUCACACCCCUUCAUCUUUUUGAUCAAUUUCCCAAUGUGCAUCUCUAUUCUUGUGAACGUAGCCUCUAUGUUUUUGCCAUAAGCUAAACUCCUCUUCAUGGUUCGUUGGAAAAGUUCUUCAAGCUUUGUGUUCUUCUUAGGUGGAGUGAUUUUCUACUGCCACUGAACUAGUGAAACUGUCUGUAUUUCUUGUUGCAAAAGAGAAAGUUUAUGUAUUACUUCUUCCAACUGUUG
This 725-nucleotide long non-coding RNA is filed under the name Vigna radiata. RNAcentral's name for it is "long non-coding RNA (VRAD_LNC015888)". The record is from RNAcentral. Lineage: Eukaryota; Viridiplantae; Streptophyta; Magnoliopsida; Fabales; Fabaceae.